UUCCUCUCAAAGUCAUCGUCAAAGUCCAAGAUGUUUGCGCGAACCGUUUGAGAGCUUCUAGUCAUAAACUAGUACCUAAGAAACAAGAAACAAAAUUAGGUCAGGAACUUAAACAAAAUCAGAAACAAAGUGAAAUAAAAGAAAUAGAAACAAAAGACAAUCCAAGGGAUUAGCAAAUUUGCUAAUCCCCGGCAACGGCGCCAAACAUUUGAUGCGAAAUAGAUAAGCACACAAAUUAAACCCUCUUUUUGUCAAAUUGUAGUAAAGAUGUAAGUAGGGAUC
This 282-nucleotide long non-coding RNA is filed under the name Malus domestica (apple). Its description in RNAcentral is "long non-coding RNA (MDOM_LNC019803)". The record is from RNAcentral. Lineage: Eukaryota; Viridiplantae; Streptophyta; Magnoliopsida; Rosales; Rosaceae.